This 497-nucleotide ribosomal RNA is filed under the name uncultured bacterium. Its description in RNAcentral is "partial 16S ribosomal RNA". It matches the Rfam family "Bacterial small subunit ribosomal RNA", at positions 28 to 507 of the family's 1533-position model. The record is from RNAcentral.
GAUGAACGCUGGCGGCGUGCCUAAUACAUGCAAGUCGAGCGAACGGACGAGAAGCUUGCUUCUCUGAUGUUAGCGGCGGACGGGUGAGUAACACGUGGAUAACCUACCUAUAAGACUGGGAUAACUUCGGGAAACCGGAGCUAAUACCGGAUAAUAUUUUGAACCGCAUGGUUCAAAAGUGAAAGAGGGUCUUGCGGUAACUAAUAGAUGAAUCCGCGCUGCAUUAGCUAGUUGGUAAGGUAACGGCUUACCAAGGCAACGAUGCAUAGCCGACCUGAGAGGGUGAUCGGCCACACUGGAACUGAGACACGGUCCAGACUCCUACGGGAGGCAGCAGUAGGGAAUCUUCCGCAAUGGGCGAAAGCCUGACGGAGCAACGCCGCGUGAGUGAUGAAGGUCUUCGGAUCGUAAAACUCUGUUAUUAGGGAAGAACAUAUGUGUAAGUAACUGUGCACAUCUUGACGGUACCUAAUCAGAAAGCCACGGCUAACUACGUG